CCUACGGGAGGCAGCAGUGGGGAAUAUUGCACAAUGGGGGAAACCCUGAUGCAGCAACGCCGCGUGGGUGAAGGAGCGUUUCGGCGCGUAAAGCCCUGUCAGCGGGGAAGAAGAAAGACGGUACCCGACCAAGAAGCCCCGGCUAACUACGUGCCAGCAGCCGCGGUAAUACGUAGGGGGCGAGCGUUAUCCGGAAUUAUUGGGUGUAAAGGGUGCGUAGACGGGAAAGCAAGUUAGUUGUGAAAUCCCUCGGCUUAACUGAGGAACUGCAACUAAAACUACUUUUCUUGAGUGCAGGAGAGGAA
Molecule: ribosomal RNA, 305 nt
Filed under: uncultured bacterium
Lineage: Bacteria
Description: bacterial SSU rRNA
Rfam family: Bacterial small subunit ribosomal RNA
Source: RNAcentral